This 404-nucleotide unclassified non-coding RNA is filed under the name soil metagenome. Its description in RNAcentral is "partial contains 5.8S ribosomal RNA, internal transcribed spacer 2, and large subunit ribosomal RNA". The stretch from base 1 to 122 matches the Rfam family "5.8S ribosomal RNA", at positions 35 to 154 of the family's 154-position model. The record is from RNAcentral.
GAUGAAGAACGCAGCAAAAUGCGAUACUUGGUGUGAAUUGCAGAAUCCCGUGAACCAUCGAGUUUUUGAACGCAAGUUGCGCCCGAAGCCUUUUGGCCGAGGGCACGUCUGCCUGGGCGUCACGCAUCGCGUCGCCCCCCACAAUUCUCCGUAAAGGGAACGUGUGUUUUGGGGGCGGAUAUUGGUCUCCCGUGCUCAUGGCGUGGUUGGCCAAAAUAGGAGUCCUUUCGAUGGACGCACGAACUAGUGGUGGUCGUAAAAACCCUCGUCUUUUGUUUCGUGCUGUUGCUCGCAAUGUAAACUCUUUAAAAACCCCAAUGUGUCGUCUCUUGACGACGCUUCGACCGCGACCCCAGGUCAGGCGGGACUACCCGCUGAGUUUAAGCAUAUCAAUAAGCGGAGGA